GGGGUUGGAUGAAAGUAAGUAAACAUCUCUCAUCGUGAAGCAUUCGACACUGCACAUUAAUUUGGAUAGAGAAGAUUAAUAAUAGUAACUAAGGUACAUUGCACAAUAAGCAGAAGCACAAAAAUGGAGUAAUCAUUUGUGGCAAUCUCAGAAUAGAGGGUCUUCUAUAAAGAGAGUAAACAUAGGCAAACUUAGAGAAAUGGUUGUAAUUUGGGAGCAUAAAGGCUGAUAUGGUAGGUGCAGAUAACAUAAAAAUAUAUUCAUUUAGUUUUCAUAAAAAUAUACAGACCUUCUAGCCCGCAUGGUUGGCCUAUUAUUCUCAUUUUUAUAGUCAUCUAAUACUCCCUCCAUUCAAAAAUAUAAUAUGUUUUGGAGAUUUCAAUAUGGACUACAUAAAAACUGAAAUGAGUGAAAACACACACUAAAAUGCAUCUAUAUACAUCAGAAUCAAAAAAAUGGUAAACCAUCAAGGGAGUACUUACUAAUUGGAAUCAUUUUGGUCUCUCUUUCCCUAGAUGAAGACCACUGAGCAAUUAUCCUGGAAUACAUUUUCUUGAGGAAUCACCAUGGCCGACUCAUCCCAUUAUUAAUUGUGUACGUCUUGAUUAAAGAAUAGACUAUGCAAAGGAAAUAUGCAGAUCGUUGGUAAUGGUUAUAGAAAUUGUAUAAUUUCAUUUAAUAAUUUACGAUUGGUGAUAAAAACACAGAGGUUUAUAAUAUGGAGGUGG
Molecule: long non-coding RNA, 728 nt
Filed under: Triticum aestivum (bread wheat)
Lineage: Eukaryota; Viridiplantae; Streptophyta; Magnoliopsida; Poales; Poaceae
Description: long non-coding RNA (TAES_LNC015755)
Source: RNAcentral